AGGACGAACGCUGGCGGCGUGCCUAACACAUGCAAGUCGAACGGGACCAGGGGCAACUCUGGUUCAGUGGCGGACGGGUGCGUAACACGUGAGGAACAUGACCUUCGGCGGGGGAUAGCCGGCCCAACGGCCGGGUAAUACCGCGUACGACCACUUGAGGACAUCCUCGGGUGGUGAAAGCAGCAAUGCGCCGAUGAAGUGCCUCGCGGCCUAUCAGCUAGUUGGUGAGGUAACGGCUCACCAAGGCGACGACGGGUAGCUGGU
Molecule: ribosomal RNA, 264 nt
Filed under: uncultured soil bacterium
Lineage: Bacteria
Description: partial 16S ribosomal RNA
Rfam family: Bacterial small subunit ribosomal RNA
Source: RNAcentral